UAAUGGCAGGUCAGCAUACUGCCGUGAAUACGUUCCCGGGCCUUGUACACACCGCCCGUCACACCAUGAGAGUUGGGAAUACCCGAAGCCUGUGAGCCAACUUUUAAAGAGGCAGCAGUCGAAGGUAGAAUCAAUGAUUGGGUGAAGUCGUAACAAGGUAUC
Molecule: ribosomal RNA, 162 nt
Filed under: uncultured bacterium
Lineage: Bacteria
Description: partial 16S ribosomal RNA
Rfam family: Bacterial small subunit ribosomal RNA
Source: RNAcentral